RNAcentral lists this transfer RNA (74 nucleotides) under Phytohabitans aurantiacus. Its description in RNAcentral is "Micromonospora sp. RD004123 tRNA-Lys". Lineage: Bacteria; Bacillati; Actinomycetota; Actinomycetes; Micromonosporales; Micromonosporaceae. The record is from RNAcentral.
GUGCCCGGUGCGCAGGUGCGGAGUUCUUCGCCUCUUCAGCGGGUGGUUGCGGGUUCGAGUCCCGCCUGGCCUUG